Molecule: ribosomal RNA, 1359 nt
Filed under: uncultured bacterium
Lineage: Bacteria
Description: bacterial SSU rRNA
Rfam family: Bacterial small subunit ribosomal RNA
Source: RNAcentral
GAUGAACGCUAGCUACAGGCUUAACACAUGCAAGUCGAGGGGCAGCAUUUCAGUUUGCUUGCAAACUGGAGAUGGCGACCGGCGCACGGGUGAGUAACACGUAUCCAACCUGCCGAUAACUCGGGGAUAGCCUUUCGAAAGAAAGAUUAAUACCCGAUGGCAUAAUUAGACCGCAUGGUCUUAUUAUUAAAGAAUUUCGGUUAUCGAUGGGGAUGCGUUCCAUUAGGCAGUUGGUGAGGUAACGGCUCACCAAACCUUCGAUGGAUAGGGGUUCUGAGAGGAAGGUCCCCCACAUUGGAACUGAGACACGGUCCAAACUCCUACGGGAGGCAGCAGUGAGGAAUAUUGGUCAAUGGGCGCAGGCCUGAACCAGCCAAGUAGCGUGAAGGAUGACUGCCCUAUGGGUUGUAAACUUCUUUUAUAUGGGAAUAAAGUUUUCCACGUGUGGAAUUUUGUAUGUACCAUAUGAAUAAGGAUCGGCUAACUCCGUGCCAGCAGCCGCGGUAAUACGGAGGAUCCGAGCGUUAUCCGGAUUUAUUGGGUUUAAAGGGAGCGUAGGUGGACAGUUAAGUCAGUUGUGAAAGUUUGCGGCUCAACCGUAAAAUUGCAGUUGAUACUGGCUGUCUUGAGUACAGUAGAGGUGGGCGGAAUUCGUGGUGUAGCGGUGAAAUGCUUAGAAAUCACGAAGAACUCCGAUUGCGAAGGCAGCUCACUGGACUGCAACUGACACUGAUGCUCGAAAGUGUGGGUAUCAAACAGGAUUAGAUACCCUGGUAGUCCACACAGUAAACGAUGAAUACUCGCUGUUUGCGAUAUACAGUAAGCGGCCAAGCGAAAGCAUUAAGUAUUCCACCUGGGGAGUACGCCGGCAACGGUGAAACUCAAAGGAAUUGACGGGGGCCCGCACAAGCGGAGGAACAUGUGGUUUAAUUCGAUGAUACGCGAGGAACCUUACCCGGGCUUAAAUUGCAUUUGAAUAUAUUGGAAACAGUAUAGCCGUAAGGCAAAUGUGAAGGUGCUGCAUGGUUGUCGUCAGCUCGUGCCGUGAGGUGUCGGCUUAAGUGCCAUAACGAGCGCAACCCUUAUCUUUAGUUACUAACAGGUCAUGCUGAGGACUCUAGAGAGACUGCCGUCGUAAGAUGUGAGGAAGGUGGGGAUGACGUCAAAUCAGCACGGCCCUUACGUCCGGGGCUACACACGUGUUACAAUGGGGGGUACAGAAGGCAGCUACCUGGUGACAGGAUGCUAAUCCCAAAAGCCUCUCUCAGUUCGGAUCGAAGUCUGCAACCCGACUUCGUGAAGCUGGAUUCGCUAGUAAUCGCGCAUCAGCCAUGGCGCGGUGAAUACGUUCCCGGGCCU